UUGUGUUCUUUGGUCGCUGGCUUCACCACACAAAUGGACCGUUCGGUCUCUAAUCCCUCUAUGUGGGACACACAAAAAGUGUAUAAACACCAUGAGCAACAAAAUGUUGCCGAAACACGACCAAAAUACAGAGAGGGAAGACGCCUCAAAGCUGUCAAGGUGUAUACCAUCAACUUGGAGUCUCGGUUCCUUGAUAGUUCAAGGGGUUCCCGCUAUCGGAGUGAUGACCGAGCUGGUGCAGCUCUUUGCUCUGUAUGGAGUGAUCGAGGAGUACAGGGCGCUGGAUGAAUACCCAGCAGAGCAGUUCACUGAAGUCUACUUAUUUCAGUUCCAGAAGCUGACGAGUGCAAAGUGAACAUGUUUAAAGUGAGCUUGAGCCGCAAUUAUUAUUGUUAUUUUUAUUUUAGUUUUAAUGAAAGAAACCUCUUAUGCUCACCUAGGCAAGGCUGCAUUCAGUUGAUCUGUAGAUUAUAUUCUUUCAUCCAUGCCGAGAUGUCUGCCAGGCAGCCUAAGAUCUGUGCAGCUACCAUUGGAUCAUCUGGUUGGAGUGAAAGAUAGAGCUGUGUAUCAUCAGCAUAGCAAUGGUAGAGAAUCCAUGUGCCUGUAUGUUGGGAUCCAGUGGUGCUGUGUAUAUGGAGAAGAGGAGGGGUCCAAUAACUGAUCCCUGAGGAAUCCCAGUGAUAAGUUGAUGUGCUUUGGACACCUCCCCUCCCCAAGCCACACUGAAAGACCUACCAAUGAGAAAGGAUUCAGACCAGGAAGUGGAAUCCCUGUGAUGCCCAGUGAUGAGAGGUGAGACAGAAGGAUCUGAUGAUUGACAGUGUCAAAAGCAGCUGCUAGAUCCAGCAGAACAAGAACUGAUGAUUUGGAAUCAGCUUUUGCAAUCCACAGGGCUUCCGUGACUGACAGUAGUACAGUUUAAGUUGAAUGGCCAGUCCUGAAACCUGAUUGGUUAGCUUCCAGUUUGAGGUUCUGUAAAAGAAACAAUGAUCUGGAACAUCUGGUUGAAAACAACUCUUUUGAGGGUUUUCACUAUGAAUGAAACGAGAGAGACAGGUCUGUAGCUUUCUGUAAGUGAAGUUAUUAAAAUUAGUUGUUGUUUUUUUUUGAGCAGAGGGGUUACCCAAGCCUGCUUGAAUGCAGUGGGAAAGGUGCCAGUGAGUAAAAGGUCACCAGUAAAAGGUUUUUAUCUUUGACCGUCUUUUCAGAAUCAGAAUAAGAAACUUUCCCAUCAUGGUCAUACAGUAAUCCUGAAAAAAAAUAAAUGAUAAUUAUAUAGAUAGAUAGAUAGAUCGAGAGAGAGAGAGAGAUGUAGAUAUACAUUUAUGUAUAUAUUGUACUUAACAAUGGUUAAUUAUUACUGACAAAUGGCAGGACCAUUUUCAUUAAGGCGAUCUCUACAAUGUCCUUAAUCCUCCAGUGAGAUGUAUCCAUUUUGUAUAAAUCUAUACACUGAACAAAAUUAUAAACACAACACUUUUGAUUUUGCCCCAAUUUUUCAUGAACUUGAACUUAAAGAUCUAAGGCUUUUUUUAUGUACACAAAAGGCCUAUUUCUAUUAAAUAUUGUUCACAAUUCUGUCUAAAUCUGCGUUAAUGAGCACUUUUCCUCUGACGAGAUAAUCCAUCCACCUCAGGUGUAGCAUAUCAAGAUCCUGAUUAGACCACAUGAUUAUUGCACAGGUGUGCCUUAGGCUGGCCACAAUAAAAGGCCACUCUACAAUGUGCAGUUUUAUCCCACAGCACAAUGCCACAGAUGUGGCAAGUUUUGAGGGAGCAUGAAAUUGGCAUGCUGUUGAAUAUUAAUUUCUCCACCAUAAGCCACAGCAACACUAAGUAUUACAGCAGCAUGGUAGUCUAAUUUAUUAAAAUCUUUGGUUAAAAGAUUUCAGUAUAUUAAAAACAUAAGCUGUUGGAAGUACAUUGAACUGAAAGAACAAUUUGUCCCCUUAAAAGAUUAAUUCAUGAUAAAUUAUAAAAAGUACAAACAAACUAAAAAUAUCCAAAAACAACAGUUCAAUGAAUAAAUGACAAUGAAAUUUGACUGCAGUUCUUUAAAGUUUUAUUUUGCAUUAAUUCAGCUUGAAUCUAUAUCAACAGUAAUUGUCUUCUGAAAGCUGUCACACUUGGUUAGAAUAAAUGCACAUGAUAAUUCAGGCAGUUUUUAAUAAUCCAAACA
Molecule: long non-coding RNA, 2178 nt
Organism: Carassius auratus (goldfish)
Lineage: Eukaryota; Metazoa; Chordata; Actinopteri; Cypriniformes; Cyprinidae
Exons: 2
Source: RefSeq, a predicted model, not a curated record